GACGAACGCUGGCGGCGUGCUUAAUACAUGCAAGUCGAACGGAAAGGCCCUGCUUUUGUGGGUUGCUCGAGUGGCGAACGGGUGAGUAACACGUGAGUAACCUGCCCUUGACUUUGGGAUAACUUCAGGAAACUGGGGCUAAUACAGGAUAGGAGCUCCUGCUGCAUGGUGGGGGUUGGAAAGUUUCGGCGGUUGGGGAUGGACUCGCGGCUUAUCAGCUUGUUGGUGGGGUAGUGGCUUACCAAGGCUUUGACGGGUAGCCGGCCUGGGAGGGUGACCGGCCACAAUGGGAAUGAGGUACGGCCCAGACUCCUACUGGAGGCAACAGUGGAGAAUAUUCCACAAUGGGCGGAAGCCUGAUGCAGCAACGCCGCGUGCGCGAUGACGGCCUUCGGGUUGUAAACCGCUUUCGCCUGUGACGAAGCGUGAGUGACGGUAAUGGAUAAAGAAGCACCGGCUAACUACGUG
RNAcentral lists this ribosomal RNA (468 nucleotides) under uncultured bacterium. Its description in RNAcentral is "partial 16S ribosomal RNA". It matches the Rfam family "Bacterial small subunit ribosomal RNA", at positions 28 to 507 of the family's 1533-position model. The record is from RNAcentral.